Molecule: ribosomal RNA, 446 nt
Filed under: uncultured bacterium
Lineage: Bacteria
Description: partial 16S ribosomal RNA
Rfam family: Bacterial small subunit ribosomal RNA
Source: RNAcentral
CCUACGGGUGGCAGCAGUCGAGAAUCAUUCACAAUGGGGGAAACCCUGAUGGUGCGACGCCGCGUGGGGGAAUGAAGGUCUUCGGAUUGUAAACCCCUGUCAUGUGGGAGCAAAUUAAAAAGAUAGUACCACAAUAGGAAGAGACGGCUAACUCUGUGCCAGUAGCCGCGGUAAGACAGAGGUCUUAAGCGUUGUUCGGCAGCACUGGGCGUAAAGCGUGCGUAGGCUGUUUCGUAAGUCGUGUGUGAAAGGCGCGGGCUCAACCCGCGGACGGCACAUGAUACUGCGAGACUAGAGUGAUGGAGGGGGAAGCGGAAUUCACGGUGUAGCAGUGAAAUGCGUAGAUAUCGAGAAGAACACUCGUGGCGAAGGCAGGUUCCUGGACAUUAACUGACGCUGAGGCACGAAGGCCAGGGGAGCGAAAGGGAUUAGAUACCCCUGUAGUC